This 303-nucleotide long non-coding RNA is filed under the name Ursus americanus (American black bear). RNAcentral describes it as "lncRNA (ENSUAMG00000028412.1)". Lineage: Eukaryota; Metazoa; Chordata; Mammalia; Carnivora; Ursidae. The record is from RNAcentral.
GGAGCAUUAAAAGAGUUCUGGAGUCCUGGAUCAGGGUGCGGGAUUUUCUGGGUGAGUCCCCAAGAUGGAAGGGAGGGUGGCCGCUGAGGGGAUGGCUGCUCGUCAGAUGCCGGCCUAGCCCAAGUAGCCGGGGGCCUGCAGCCGAGGACCAUGCAUCUGGACCACUUUGUUUUGCGUGCCUCAGGUUUCUCUUUGAUGCUCCCUGCAGAGAAGCUCACGCGGAGGCCGAGGCCAAGGCGCACGCAGCCCCCAUCUGGACACCUAUGCGACCUACGCCGAUGUUUGAAGAGUCGUAGAGUGUGA